AAUCCUUUAACGAGGAUCUAGCGGAGGGCAGGUCUGGUGCCAGCAGCCGCGGUAAUUCCAGCUCCGCAGGUGUAUAUCUAUGCUGCUGCGGUUAAAAAGCUCGUAGUUGGAUCUGCGUGCUCGGAACUGGUUGGCUCACUGAGUUCAAACUGGUCUCCGGCGCUUUAUUGGCUGGUUUUCCCUUGAUGCUCUUAACCGGGUGUCUUGGGUGGCUAGCACGUUUACUUUGAAAAAAUUAGAGUGCUCAAUACAGGCGUAAAGCCUUGAAUAGUGGUGCAUGGAAUAAUAGAAUAGGACCUCGGCUCUAUUUUGUUGGUUUUCGGAACGCGAGGUAAUGAUUAAGAGGGACAGACGGGGGCAUUCGUAUUGCGACGUUAGAGGUGAAAUUCUUGGAUCGUCGCAAGACGGACGACUGCGAAAGCAUUUGCCAAGAAUGUUUUCAUUAAUCAAGAACGAAAGUUAGAGGUUCGAAGGCGAUCAGAUACCGCCCUAGUUCUAACCGUAAACGAUGCCAACUAGCGAUUCGCAGGCGUUAAACAACGACCUUGCGGGCAGCUUCCCGGAAACGAAAGUGUUCGGGUUCCGGGGGAAGUAUGGUUGCAAAGCUGAAACUUAAAGGAAUUGACGGAAGGGCACCACCAGGAGUGGAGCCUGCGGCUUAAUUUGACCCAACACGGGAAAACUCACCCGGCCCGGACACCGUAAGGAUUGACAGAUUGAGAGCUCUUUCUUGAUUCGGUGGGUGGUGGUGCAUGGCCGUUCUUAGUUGGUGGAGCGAUUUGUCUGGUUUAUUCCGAUAACGAACGAGACUCUGGCCUACUAAAUAGUGGGCGGAUUCUUUCUGUCCGCAACACUUCUUAGGGGGACAAGCGGUGUUCAGCCGCACGAGAUUGAGCAAUAACAGGUCUGUGAUGCCCUUAGAUGUCCGGGGCUGCACGCGCGCUACACUGAAGGAAUCAGCGUGCUUUCUGACCUUGCCCGAAAGGGCUGGGUAACCCGAUGAAAAUCCUUCGUGAUUGGGAUAGGGACUUGCAAUUAUUUCCCUUGAACGAGGAAUUCCCAGUAAGUGUGGGUCAUAAGCUCGCGUUGAUUACGUCCCUGCCCUUUGUACACACCGCCCGUCGCUGCCCGGAACUGAGCCGUUUCGAGAAGAACAGGGACCGUCGUUGAAGGGCCUUAACGGGCUUUUCUCUGAUAGAAACUGUU
RNAcentral lists this ribosomal RNA (1206 nucleotides) under metagenome. RNAcentral describes it as "SSU rRNA". It matches the Rfam family "Eukaryotic small subunit ribosomal RNA", at positions 528 to 1758 of the family's 1831-position model. The record is from RNAcentral.